Molecule: long non-coding RNA, 428 nt
Filed under: Salmo salar (Atlantic salmon)
Lineage: Eukaryota; Metazoa; Chordata; Actinopteri; Salmoniformes; Salmonidae
Description: lncRNA (ENSSSAG00000106314.1)
Source: RNAcentral
AGAGCUGUCAUUGGAAUUAGCUGUGUUUGUCCUGAGAAUCCUAUAGUUUUGGCAUAUUUACCAGACGUGGGGAGAUGAGAGGCAUAAUUUGGUUUUACACAUGUGUGGCCACCUGUUUGUGUAGUUCAUCCAAAAAGACCCGUCUGCAGCUACAGAGUUUUCCACUGUUGUUGGUCCCUUGUAGCCACUCCUGCCUGAAUGGAGCACGAGAAGGGCCGGAGGAAGGAAAGAACGAGGGACAUUAUAUCCACAAUGACAAUUUAAUUAGUGAUGUCUGUCAAGCAGUGUGCUCUAUUUGGGACUGUGUCCCCCUACAUACACUGGACAACCUGAAAGAGACCUGUCUUGUAUUGUCAGCAUGUCACCAUUUUCCUCUGGAGAUUUCAGUGUCAGAACAGUAAAUACAAAGAAAAACACGUCUAUAGAAG